RNAcentral lists this ribosomal RNA (655 nucleotides) under Debaryomyces hansenii. RNAcentral's name for it is "eukaryotic LSU rRNA". The stretch from base 256 to 409 matches the Rfam family "5.8S ribosomal RNA". The record is from RNAcentral. Lineage: Eukaryota; Fungi; Ascomycota; Pichiomycetes; Serinales; Debaryomycetaceae.
UGGAAGUAAAAAUCGUAACAAGGUUUCCGUAGGUGAACCUGCGGAAGGAUCAUUACAGUAUUCUUUUUGCCAGCGCUUAAUUGCGCGGCGAAAAAACCUUACACACAGUGUUUUUUGUUAUUACAAGAACUCUUGCUUUGGUCUGGACUAGAAAUAGUUUGGGCCAGAGGUUUACUAAACUAAACUUCAAUAUUUAUAUUGAAUUGUUAUUUAUUUUAAUUGUCAAUUUGUUGAUUAAAUUCAAAAAAUCUUCAAAACUUUCAACAACGGAUCUCUUGGUUCUCGCAUCGAUGAAGAACGCAGCGAAAUGCGAUAAGUAAUAUGAAUUGCAGAUUUUCGUGAAUCAUCGAAUCUUUGAACGCACAUUGCGCCCUUUGGUAUUCCAAAGGGCAUGCCUGUUUGAGCGUCAUUUCUCUCUCAAACCUUCGGGUUUGGUAUUGAGUGAUACUCUUAGUCGAACUAGGCGUUUGCUUGAAAUGUAUUGGCAUGAGUGGUACUGGAUAGUGCUAUAUGACUUUCAAUGUAUUAGGUUUAUCCAACUCGUUGAAUAGUUUAAUGGUAUAUUUCUCGGUAUUCUAGGCUCGGCCUUACAAUAUAACAAACAAGUUUGACCUCAAAUCAGGUAGGACUACCCGCUGAACUUAAGCAUAUCAUA